Molecule: transfer RNA, 75 nt
Filed under: Thermoplasmata archaeon
Lineage: Archaea; Methanobacteriati; Thermoplasmatota; Thermoplasmata
Also listed under: 1 other name
Description: tRNA-Arg
Rfam family: tRNA
About the family: Transfer RNA (tRNA) molecules are approximately 80 nucleotides in length. Their secondary structure includes four short double-helical elements and three loops (D, anti-codon, and T loops).
Source: RNAcentral
GCGCCGGUGGCUCAGCCUGGAUAGAGCGUUCGGUUCCUAACCGAAACGUCGUGGGUCCGAAUCCCACCCGGCGCG